Molecule: transfer RNA, 71 nt
Filed under: Marmota monax (woodchuck)
Lineage: Eukaryota; Metazoa; Chordata; Mammalia; Rodentia; Sciuridae
Description: tRNA.Ala
Source: RNAcentral
GGGGUUGUGGCUCAGCGGUAGAGCGCUCGCUAGGCAUGUGCAAGGCACUGGGUUCAAUUCUCAGCACCUCA